This is a long non-coding RNA of Gallus gallus (chicken), 497 nucleotides long. NCBI's taxonomy places the organism in Eukaryota, Metazoa, Chordata, Aves, Galliformes, Phasianidae. The record is from Ensembl.
UAUGCCCUGUUUUCAAUGUAUAAUUUAAUGGAUUUUCUACCUUCUCCCCUCCCCCUGUGUGCCACUCAGUAAUAAUAUAAUUAUGGAAUAUCUUCAAAGGUUGGACUAGACCAAGCAUAAUAUUCAAAAGGUACUCUCAUCUUUCAAGACCUUCAGUUGCCCCCAAGGAAAAGAUGCGCAGAAAGGAAACCAUCAGAUGUGGAAAGCUGCUCUGUAAUGUCCCACAUGACAUGUAAUCAAAGCCAUCAAAGGCACUCAGACUGGUGACACAGCAUUUUCCAGCAUGUACCCAGACAGGACAAGAGAGGGACAAAUGUUCCAGCAAGGAUGUACAGAUUCACCAACAACCAGCUUCCAGCCCCAGCAACUGUGUAUUUGAAGUGGAAGAGUCACUAAUCAGAGAACAGAAAUACUUUCCUUGGAAGCUCAUGUGGAAAGUUAUGAGCAGAUUUCUACCAGAAAAGAAAGAUUUGCUGUGUAGCAGGAGGCAAUGUCAC